UCCUGGCUCAGGAUGAACGCUAGCGGCAGGCUAACACAUGCAAGUCGAGGGGCAUCGGGAGUAGCAAUACUUGCCGGCGACCGGCGCAAGGGUGCGUAACGCGUGAGCAACAUGCCCGUAUCAGGGGGAUAAUCCAUGGAAACGUGGUCUAAUACCCCAUAGUAAUUAUGUAAGGCAUCUUAUAUAAUUUAAAGCUUUGGUGGAUACGGAUUGGCUCGCGUGACAUUAGCUGGAUGGUAAGGUAACGGCUUACCAUGGCUACGAUGUCUAGGGGUUCUGAGAGGAAGGUCCCCCACACUGGAACUGAGACACGGUCCAGACUCCUACGGGAGGCAGCAGUGAGGAAUAUUGGACAAUGGAUGGAAAUCUGAUCCAGCCAUGCCGCGUGCAAGGAAGACGGCCCUAUGGGUUGUAAACUGCUUUUGUAUGGGAGCAAUAAGGGCUACGCGUAGUCCGAUGAGAGUACCAUACGAAUAAGCACCGGCUAACUCCGUGCCAGCAGCCGC
RNAcentral lists this ribosomal RNA (506 nucleotides) under uncultured bacterium. RNAcentral describes it as "bacterial SSU rRNA". It matches the Rfam family "Bacterial small subunit ribosomal RNA", at positions 17 to 518 of the family's 1533-position model. The record is from RNAcentral.